ACGCUGGCGGCGUGCCUAAUACAUGCAAGUCGAACGAUCUCUGGUAUUGAUUGGUGCUUGCAUCAUGAUUUACAUUUGAGUGAGUGGCGAACUGGUGAGUAACACGUGGGAAACCUGCCCAGAAGCGGGGGAUAACACCUGGAAACAGAUGCUAAUACUGCAUAACAACUUGGACCGCAUGGUCCGAGCUUGAAAGAUGGCUUCGGAUAUCACUUUUGGAUGGUCCCGCGGCGUAUUACCUAGAUGGUGGGGUAACGGCUCACCAUGGCAAUGAUACGUAGCCGACCUGAGAGGGUAAUCGGCCACAUUGGGACUGAGACACGGCCCAAACUCCUACGGGAGGCAGCAGUAGGGAAUCUUCCACAAUGGACGAAAGUCUGAUGGAGCAACGCCGCGUGAGUGAAGAAGGGUUUCGGCUCGUAAAACUCUGUUGUUAAAGAAGAACAUAUCUGAGAGUAACUGUUCACGUAUUGACGGUAUUUAACCAGAAAGCCACGGCUAACUACGUGCCAGCAGCCGCGGUAAUACGUAUGUGGCAAGCGUUGUCCGGAUUUAUUGGGCGCAAAGCGAGCGCAUGCGGUUUUUUAAGUCUGAUGUGAAAGCCUUCGGCUCAACCGAAAAAGUGCAUCGCAUACUGGGAAACUUGAGUGCAGGAAGAGGACAGGGGAACUCCAUGUGUAACGGCGAAAUGCGCAAAUAUAUGGAAGAACACCAGUGCCCAAGGCGGCUGUCUGGACUGGAACUGACGCUGAGGCUCGAAAGUAUGGGUAGCAAACAGGAUUAGAUACCCUGGUAGUCCAUACCGUAAACGAUGAAUGCUAAGUGUUGGAGGGUUUCCGCCCUUCAGUGCUGCAGCUAACGCAUUAAGCAUUCCGCUUGGGGAGUACGGCCGCAAGGCUGAAACUCAAAGGAAUUGACGGGGGCCCGCACAAGCGGUGGAGCAUGUGGUUUAAUUCGAAGCUACGCGAAGAGCCUUACCAGGUCUUGACAUACUAUGCAAAUCUAAGAGAUUAGACGUUCCCUUCGGGGACAUGGAUACAGGUGGUGCAUGGUUGUCGUCAGCUCGUGUCGUGAGAUGUUGGGUUAAGUCCCGCAACGAGCGCAACCCUUAUUAUCAGUUGCCAGCAUUAAGUUGGGCACUCUGGUGAGACUGCCGGUGACAAACCGGAGGAAGGUGGGGAUGACGUCAAAUCAUCAUGCCCCUUAUGACCUGGGCUACACACGUGCUACAAUGGAUGGUACAACGAGUUGCGAACUCGCGAGAGUAAGCUAAUCUCUUAAAGCCAUUCUCAGUUCGGAUUGUAGGCUGCAACUCGCCUACAUGAAGUCGGAAUCGCUAGUAAUCGCGGAUCAGCAUGCCGCGGUGAAUACGUUCCCGGGCCUUGUACACACCGCCCGUCACACCAUGAGAGUUUGUAACACCCAAAGUCGGUGGGGUAACCUUUUAGGAACCAGCCGCCUAAGGUGGGAC
Molecule: ribosomal RNA, 1471 nt
Filed under: uncultured organism
Description: 16S ribosomal RNA
Rfam family: Bacterial small subunit ribosomal RNA
Source: RNAcentral